Molecule: ribosomal RNA, 497 nt
Filed under: uncultured bacterium
Lineage: Bacteria
Description: partial 16S ribosomal RNA
Rfam family: Bacterial small subunit ribosomal RNA
Source: RNAcentral
GACGAGCGCUGGCGGCGUGCCUAAUACAUGCAAGUAGAACGCUGAAGAGAGGAGCUUGCUCUUCUUGGAUGAGUUGCGAACGGGUGAGUAACGCGUAGGUAACCUGCCUUGUAGCGGGGGAUAACUAUUGGAAACGAUAGCUAAUACCGCAUAACAAUGGAUGACACAUGUCAUUUAUUUGAAAGGGGCAAUUGCUCCACUACAAGAUGGACCUGCGUUGUAUUAGCUAGUAGGUGAGGUAACGGCUCACCUAGGCGACGAUACAUAGCCGACCUGAGAGGGUGAUCGGCCACACUGGGACUGAGACACGGCCCAGACUCCUACGGGAGGCAGCAGUAGGGAAUCUUCGGCAAUGGGGGCAACCCUGACCGAGCAACGCCGCGUGAGUGAAGAAGGUUUUCGGAUCGUAAAGCUCUGUUGUAAGUCAAGAACGAGUGUGAGAGUGGAAAGUUUACACUGUGACGGUAGCUUACCAGAAAGGGACGGCUAACUACGUG